GUCAGGAUGGCCGAGCGGUCUAAGGCGCCAGACUCAAGGUAUCCUUGCCUGCACUGCAGGUUGAUGAGCGUUCUGGUCCACUCUGUGGGCGUGGGUUCGAAUCCCACUUCUGACA
This 115-nucleotide transfer RNA is filed under the name Tribolium castaneum (red flour beetle). It matches the Rfam family "tRNA". From Rfam's summary of the family: Transfer RNA (tRNA) molecules are approximately 80 nucleotides in length. Their secondary structure includes four short double-helical elements and three loops (D, anti-codon, and T loops). The record is from Rfam by way of RNAcentral. Lineage: Eukaryota; Metazoa; Arthropoda; Insecta; Coleoptera; Tenebrionidae.